UACGGAGGGUGCAAGCGUUAUCCGGAUUCACUGGGUUUAAAGGGUGCGUAGGUGGGCAUGUAAGUCAGAGGUGAAAUCUCCGGGCUUAACCCGGAAACUGCCAUUGAUACUAUUUGUCUUGAAUACUGUGGAGGUCAGCGGAAUAUGUCAUGUAGCGGUGAAAUGCUUAGAUAUGGCAUAGAACACCAAUGGCGAAGGCAGCUGGCUACACAAAUAUUGACACUGAGGCACGAAAGCGUGGGGAUCAAACAGG
This 253-nucleotide ribosomal RNA is filed under the name uncultured bacterium. RNAcentral describes it as "partial 16S ribosomal RNA". It matches the Rfam family "Bacterial small subunit ribosomal RNA", at positions 524 to 776 of the family's 1533-position model. The record is from RNAcentral.